CACGACUGUCUCUGCGUCUCAGCACCUCCUCCCAGCCUGCCACAGCUCUGACAAAGGCGAGGUGAUCGCUCCCGCUCUCCCGGCUCAGAACAGCUUUGGCCUUGUCCACCUCCGCACGGUUCUGCAGGCUGCUGCUGAAGGGGUCCCGAGUGAGGCAGGAAACGAUGACGAGCAGAGGGUGGAGGCAGCGGUAGAUGGAUGCCAGGACAAUGGCCUUUGCCAGCCGAGGGUCUGUGGAGAUCUGGGCAAGGCGUUUGCCUAAAGUGGUGAGGGCUUCUCGCUGGUCCAGCACCCCGAUUUCCUGCAGCAAAAUCACUG
This 318-nucleotide long non-coding RNA is filed under the name Gallus gallus (chicken). The record is from RNAcentral. Lineage: Eukaryota; Metazoa; Chordata; Aves; Galliformes; Phasianidae.